AAUAAUCUUACCGAUAAAUAAUCUACAGUAUUUAAAAUUUAAUCUACAGUAUAAAUAAAAUAAAUCAUCAUCGAUAAAUCAUUAAUACACACAAUCCGUCUCUAUCAUCCCUUAGCUCUCGGGAAAAAGAAAAAAAGAGUCCAACAUACUCACUCCACUCCACAGCUCAAAAAUACCCUCUCCUCCUCUCCCACACACAACAACCCAAACAAUGUCUACUCCUCCGCCUACCGCCGCCGCCGACUUCC
RNAcentral lists this long non-coding RNA (248 nucleotides) under Linum usitatissimum (flax). RNAcentral's name for it is "long non-coding RNA (LUSI_LNC001406)". Lineage: Eukaryota; Viridiplantae; Streptophyta; Magnoliopsida; Malpighiales; Linaceae. The record is from RNAcentral.